Molecule: non-coding RNA, 182 nt
Filed under: Desulfobulbus propionicus
Lineage: Bacteria; Pseudomonadati; Thermodesulfobacteriota; Desulfobulbia; Desulfobulbales; Desulfobulbaceae
Also listed under: 1 other name
Source: RNAcentral
CUAUCCUCCUACAGUUCAGGUGUUCGCGAGAACGCAAGAGGGAACCCCGCGCGAAUCGGGGACGGGCCCGCCGCUGUGACCGAGGACGAACGCUGCACCAUGUCACUGACCAAGAGGUUGGGAAGACGCAGCCAGUAGGAUGAUCCGGGAGUCAGAAGACCUGCCUGAAUGGUUGUUUGGAG